CAACAACCAGCUCCUCCUGCCCGGCCCCGUUUGGUGCCUGAGGCUGCCACCUUUAACCUUCAGAAAGUCAACAUUUCUGCGGUCAAGCACUGAGAAAUGGAUGGGGAAAACGGCAUGACGGAGUGCCAAGCAACUGGUUUCCCCAAAAAGCAGCAGUUUCCUCAGCUGGAAUGGUCUCUGUGGUUGCCAUGACAGUGACUGGCAGGAUCCUAACACAAAGGACAUAAAUAAAUGCCCAGUCCUGGGAGCAAGAUAAGAUGCAAUUCUUUGAGCUGCAGAAAGGACAACACAAGUGAGUGACAGCAGCAAACCCAUGAGACUGGGGCAGAAAACUUUAAUUUCUUUGUACAGCAUGCACAUGGAAGGGUCCUUCCCUCCUGUUUGGGUAAUGAUAAAUGACAAGAUGUGACAGUUAUUAAUUAAACUGCCUGCCACAGCAAUGUACAUGAUGAUAAGAGCUA
Molecule: long non-coding RNA, 461 nt
Organism: Onychostruthus taczanowskii (white-rumped snowfinch)
Lineage: Eukaryota; Metazoa; Chordata; Aves; Passeriformes; Passeridae
Exons: 3
Source: RefSeq, a predicted model, not a curated record